UACGAAGGGGGCUAGCGUUGCUCGGAAUCACUGGGCGUAAAGGGUGCGUAGGCGGGUCUUUAAGUCAGGGGUGAAAUCCUGGGGCUCAACCUCAGAAUUGCCUCCGAUACUGGCAGUCUCGAGUGCGGGAGAGGUGAGUGGAAUUCCCAGUGUAGAGGUGAAAUUCGUAGAUAUUGGGAAGAACACCAGUGGCGAAGGCGGCUCACUGGCCCGUAACUGACGCUGAGGUGCGAAAGCGUGGGGAGCAAACAGG
RNAcentral lists this ribosomal RNA (253 nucleotides) under uncultured bacterium. Its description in RNAcentral is "partial 16S ribosomal RNA". It matches the Rfam family "Bacterial small subunit ribosomal RNA", at positions 524 to 776 of the family's 1533-position model. The record is from RNAcentral.